RNAcentral lists this transfer RNA (90 nucleotides) under Candidatus Bathyarchaeota archaeon. RNAcentral's name for it is "tRNA-Arg". It matches the Rfam family "tRNA". From Rfam's summary of the family: Transfer RNA (tRNA) molecules are approximately 80 nucleotides in length. Lineage: Archaea; Thermoproteati; Candidatus Bathyarchaeota. The record is from RNAcentral. RNAcentral also lists the same sequence under 1 other name.
GGGCCCGUGGCGUAGCUUGGACGCGAAUAUGCCAAAAAGCGCGUCGGCCUUCUAAGCCGGAGAUCCCGGGUUCAAGUCCCGGCGGGCCCG